Molecule: long non-coding RNA, 1196 nt
Organism: Onychostoma macrolepis
Lineage: Eukaryota; Metazoa; Chordata; Actinopteri; Cypriniformes; Cyprinidae
Exons: 4
Source: RefSeq, a predicted model, not a curated record
AAACCCUUUGAAAUUAGCCGCGAAAUGAACUUGUCUCAUUCUGAAGGGACGUACGUUAAAUUAAGUUAAACUUGAUGGCGCAAAUAACCGCGAAGACUAAAGAUUUUAAUUCUGUAUAUUACUAAAGACUGAAGAUAAUACCACCGCGAUAGAUUCUGUAUGUAACUGACUUUAUUCUGAGUUGAGGACACUUUAUAAAACCUACAGAGGAUGGGACUUCACUAACAUGACGCAGUUUGAAAUUCAUCUGACAGACAGACGGACGGAUGGGUGCUAAGCCAAAGUUAAGCAUUAUAAAUGCUAUCCCUGUUGGUUUAUUUGCGCGUGAGGUGGUUCAAGAUACAGUCUGAGGGCAGUUCAUGAAGUCAGUUCUAGUUCCACCUGCCACAUCAGACUCUGCUUUAUGGAGGCCCUUAUGUGUGUAACGUUACUUUUCAUUACUGUGCAUUCAGAUAUUAUUCAGGUCACCGUAGCCACCCGGACUCAGUCUGUAUCCACAUCAGAUGGUGGAGACAACUCUAUAGCCCUGAAUGUCAGCAGAGACCAUGUCAACUAGAUGAGCCCCAAAGACAGAUCUCCAGUCCUCAUCAACUAUACGGCCAUUGGCACAAAACCUCAGCAAAGAGCACGAUGACAAACACCAUGUUGGUUCAUCUGGCCAGAGAACUGGCCCCCGAUUGAGCCUGCUUUCUACCAAGGUUUUUUCUCCAUUUCUGUCACCUUUGGCUUGCUUAUUUGGGGACACUUAAUUUUUGGGAACAUUAACGACUUGAUUGCAGAGACACUAUUUGAAGGAAACUGAACUGAGCUGGAUGAUGAUGACGUCACUGAAUCAACGAUGAACUGACUUUAACUGAAAUAUUGACCGUUUACUUUUAUGCUCUUUUUAGAGCUGCUUUACUGCAUAACUUAAUUUUGUUUGCAUUAUUGACACUCUUUUCCUGUUUAACAAUGUAAAGCUGCUUUGACACCAUCUGUAUUGUAUGAAGUGCUAUAUAUAAAUAAGGGUGAGUUGAUUUGCUUUUGACAAUUCUUCAUAGAAAUGUUUGUAUGCAGUCUGUUUUGAACAAUUUAGUUUUUUUGAGAAUUGUGUUAGUAGCCUUCGAUGUGAAAGAAAUCAGUAAAAUAAGAUUAGAUCAAAUCAGUCUCAAGUGAAUUGUAAUUACACAAAUACAAUAAGUUGUGGUUACUUAAUU